GACGAACGCUGGCGGCGUGCUUAACACAUGCAAGUCGAACGGAAAGGCCCUGCUUUUGUGGGGUGCUCGAGUGGCGAACGGGUGAGUAACACGUGAGUAACCUGCCCUUGACUUUGGGAUAACUUCAGGAAACUGGGGCUCAUACCGGAUAGGAGCUCCUGCUGCAUGGUGGGGGUUGGAAAGUUUCGGCGGUUGGGGAUGGACUCGCGGCUUAUCAGCUUGUUGGUGGGGUAGUGGCUUACCAAGGCUUUGACGGGUAGCCGGCCUGAGAGGGUGACCGGCCACAUUGGGACUGAGAGACGGCCCAGACGCCUACGGGAGGCAGCAGGGGGGAAUAUUGCACAAUGGGCGGAAGCCUGAUGCAGAAACGCCGCGUGCGGGAUGACGGCCUUCGGGUUGUAAACCGAUUUCGCAUGUGACGAAGCGUGAGUGACGGUAAUGGGUAAAGAAGCACCGGCUAACUACGUG
RNAcentral lists this ribosomal RNA (468 nucleotides) under uncultured bacterium. RNAcentral's name for it is "partial 16S ribosomal RNA". It matches the Rfam family "Bacterial small subunit ribosomal RNA", at positions 28 to 507 of the family's 1533-position model. The record is from RNAcentral.